RNAcentral lists this ribosomal RNA (450 nucleotides) under uncultured bacterium. RNAcentral describes it as "partial 16S ribosomal RNA". It matches the Rfam family "Bacterial small subunit ribosomal RNA", at positions 338 to 795 of the family's 1533-position model. The record is from RNAcentral.
CCUACGGGCGGCUGCAGUAAGGAAUAUUGGACAAUGGGCGCAAGCCUGAUCCAGCCAUGCCGCGUGCAGGAUGACGGCCCUAUGGGUUGUAAACUGCUUUUAUACGGGAAAAAACCCCUCUACGUGUAGAGGGCUGAUGGUACCGUAAGAAUAAGGAUCGGCUAACUCCGUGCCAGCAGCCGCGGUAAUACGGAGGAUCCGAGCGUUAUCCGGUUUUAUGGGGGCUAAAGGGUGUUUGGACGUCAGUGUUGAAAUCCUGCAGCUUAACGUUAGAACUGCCAUUGAUACUGCAAGUCUUGAGUACAUAUGAUGUGGGCGGAAUGUGUAGUGUAGCGGUGAAAUGCUUAGAUAUUACACAGAACACCAAUUGCGAAGGCAGCUCACAAAACUGUAACUGACGCUGAGGCACGAAAGCGUGGGGAGUGAACAGGAUUAGAUACCCGAGUAGUC